AACGAACGCUGGCGGCAUGCCUAACACAUGCAAGUCGAACGAGACCUUCGGGUCUAGUGGCGCACGGGUGCGUAACGCGUGGGAACUUGCCCUUAGGUUCGGAAUAACUCCCCGAAAGGGGUGCUAAUACCGGAUAAUGUCUUCGGACCAAAGAUUUAUCGCCUUUGGAUGGGCCCGCGUUGGAUUAGCUAGUUGGUAGGGUAAAAGCCUACCAAGGCGACGAUCCAUAGCUGGUCUGAGAGGAUGAUCAGCCACACUGGGACUGAGACACGGCCCAGACUCCUACGGGAGGCAGCAGUGGGGAAUAUUGGACAAUGGGCGAAAGCAUGAUCCAGCAAUGCCGCGUGAGUGAUGAAGGCCUUAGGGUUGUAAAGCUCUUUUACCCGGGAUGAUAAUGACAGUACCGGGAGAAUAAGCUCCGGCUAACUCCGUG
Molecule: ribosomal RNA, 433 nt
Filed under: uncultured bacterium
Lineage: Bacteria
Description: partial 16S ribosomal RNA
Rfam family: Bacterial small subunit ribosomal RNA
Source: RNAcentral